GAAAACUAUACACAGAAAACUUACAAAUAUUGGAUAACACUGGUCUAGCUACUAUAACAAUUAGCAUCACACAAAAUUCACUCUGGUGCUGUUGGCAAGACAAUAAUGGGUUUUGUAAUAAAUGUGGUUCCAAUAUUUUGAUGAGUUGACCGCAUGUUCUGUUGAAAGUUAAAUGUGGUAACACCUCUUGUGUUAUUUCAGCAAUUCUUUUGACGAGUCCUACAAAAGGUUCGUUGGGAUACAGUAAACCUCCACGAUCUUGGAGUGUGAUUAAUUUCAUUAGAGGUCCAGCUUUAAAAUAAUGUAUCCCGACAGGAAAGCCACAGAGGCAGAGAAUAGAUUUGGCUCUGGUAUUUCAUUCUUUUUUAAAUUGUGUAUUUUAGUUCGUAGUGUCGCUGGUAAAAGUAUUUCUUCAAAGUCUUCAUCAAUAUUUUGUGGUCUCACACGAGAAAGUUGGUUACGGCUUAUAUUACUUAUAGUUCUUGCUGUGUUGGCAGAAGUCGAUGAUUUUAAAAUACCAGAGCGCAAAAUUUGCCGUAAACCAUA
This is a long non-coding RNA of Zophobas morio, 546 nucleotides long. RefSeq lists it as uncharacterized. The record is from RefSeq and is a predicted model, not a curated record. The transcript has 3 exons. NCBI's taxonomy places the organism in Eukaryota, Metazoa, Arthropoda, Insecta, Coleoptera, Tenebrionidae.